CCCUAUUAUAUUUAAUGUAAAUUUAAUUUUUAGUAGUAAAUGAUAAGGUCAGGAAACUUAAAGAAUUUGGCGGUAUAUAUUCUAAUUAGAGGAAUAUAUUUUUUAAUCGAUAAUCCCCGAAAAUCUUACUUUAAUUUAUUAAUUUUGUAUAUCUCCGUCUUAAAAAAAUUUUUUUAAAUAUAUUUUUUGUUUUUUAAAAUAAAAUAAGUCAGGUCAAGGUGCAGAUUAUAUUAAAGAUAAAAUGUAUUACAAUAAAAUUAUUUUUGGAUUUGAUUUUUAAUAAUCAAUGAAUUUGGAUUUAUAUGUAAAAUAAUUUCAAGUAUAAUUAUUUGAAUAAUGUUAAUAUAUAUGUACACAUC
Molecule: ribosomal RNA, 359 nt
Filed under: Lichenomima sp. KY-2004
Lineage: Eukaryota; Metazoa; Arthropoda; Insecta; Psocodea; Myopsocidae
Description: partial 12S ribosomal RNA
Source: RNAcentral